This 159-nucleotide ribosomal RNA is filed under the name Chattonella subsalsa. RNAcentral's name for it is "5.8S ribosomal RNA". It matches the Rfam family "5.8S ribosomal RNA". From Rfam's summary of the family: 5.8S ribosomal RNA (5.8S rRNA) is a component of the large subunit of the eukaryotic ribosome. It is transcribed by RNA polymerase I as part of the 45S precursor that also contains 18S and 28S rRNA. The record is from RNAcentral. Lineage: Eukaryota; Raphidophyceae; Chattonellales; Chattonellaceae.
CGACUUUCAGCGGCGGAUGUCUUGGUUCCCACAACGAUGAAGAACGCAGCGAAAUGCGAUACGUAAUGCGAAUUGCAGAGUCCAGCGAGUCAUCAAAUGUUCGAACGCACCUGGCACUUCCGGGAUAUUCCUGGGAGUAUGCUUGUUGGAGUGUCUGUU